RNAcentral lists this unclassified non-coding RNA (391 nucleotides) under soil metagenome. RNAcentral describes it as "partial contains 5.8S ribosomal RNA, internal transcribed spacer 2, and large subunit ribosomal RNA". The stretch from base 1 to 122 matches the Rfam family "5.8S ribosomal RNA", at positions 35 to 154 of the family's 154-position model. The record is from RNAcentral.
GAUGAAGAACGUAGCGAAAUGCGAUACUUGGUGUGAAUUGCAGAAUCCCGUGAACCACCGAGUCUUUGAACGCAAGUUGCGCCCGAAGCCACUAGGCCGAGGGCACGCCUGCCUGGGCGUCACACGCCGUUGCCCCCCCAUCUACUCCUUCGGGAUUGCGGGGGGGCGGAUGAUGGCCUCCCGUGCGCCUAGCCGCGCGGUUGGCAUAAAUACCAAGUCCUCGGCGACGCACGCCACGACAAUCGGUGGUUGCGAAACCUCGGUUGCCCGUCGUGUGCGUUCGUCGCGCAUCGAGGGCUCGAAAAAAUGCUCGGCUCCGGCUGGGCUUUCAACGCGACCCCAGGUCAGGCGGGGUUACCCGCUGAAUUUAAGCAUAUCAAUAAGCGGAGGA